Ananas comosus (pineapple) is the source of this 696-nucleotide long non-coding RNA. RefSeq lists it as uncharacterized. The record is from RefSeq and is a predicted model, not a curated record. NCBI's taxonomy places the organism in Eukaryota, Viridiplantae, Streptophyta, Magnoliopsida, Poales, Bromeliaceae. The transcript is spliced from 4 exons.
UGCUGCUGCCAGAAAAUCUGCAGCAGGACUGCAGUGUAAUUUCAGAUUUUGGUGGGUUAAGUUGCAAAAUUGCCAUCCUUAUCUUAACCCCAGCCACCUGACACUUAUCUUUGUACAGAACUUCUUCCCUCUCCUUCGUUCUUAUCCCUAUUUCCCUCUUUAUCUCUCUUGAGCCUAAUUAAAGCGUUGUGAAAGAAGAAUUGGUGGAGUGGAACCUUUCCUGCGUUGGAGCUGAAAGGAGUAGCCGAGCUUCAGCUCUCUAGUAUUGCUGCGUUGAGGUUGCAGCAGAAGAAGAAGAAGAAGAAGAAGAAGAAGUGAGCUGAGAACAACCUGGGUUCAUAUCAAGAUAAGGAUGUGUAGUUAAGAGAAUUGAUGGCAGUCUUGAUGUUUUGAGUUGCCGAGUUGAUAUCUCGGGUGUGUGGACUAGAGUACUAGCUGGAGAACAUCCCAAGUAAGUGGAAUGGGCAAAAUUGGGGGUAGUAAGCUGAGUGAAGUUGUCAAGUGAAGUUCCUGCCUGGGUGCUGUCAGAACUGAGAACAAAUUGGUAUCCUACUAAAUUAAGGGGAUUCAAUCCAGUAAAUUGGUGAAGCUGAGUUGAAGGAAUUCCUACUGUGGUAUUGCUGAAGUAGAGAAUUGGGUCACUUGCAGCAGUGAACAGCUUGAUAGAACCUUAAAUUAAGGUGAGCCAAGUCUAUA